GAGUUUGUAGCUCAGCAGAAGAGCGCUCGCCUACCAUGUGUGGAGUACUGGGUUCGUUUCCCAGAACCACA
This 71-nucleotide transfer RNA is filed under the name Marmota monax (woodchuck). Its description in RNAcentral is "tRNA.Gly". Lineage: Eukaryota; Metazoa; Chordata; Mammalia; Rodentia; Sciuridae. The record is from RNAcentral.